Molecule: non-coding RNA, 1022 nt
Organism: Macaca mulatta (Rhesus monkey)
Lineage: Eukaryota; Metazoa; Chordata; Mammalia; Primates; Cercopithecidae
Source: RefSeq, a predicted model, not a curated record
GGCCCCAGGAACAAAGGGCUCAUUGUCAUGCAAAUGAACGACUCCGGAGGAAGGGGGCGGUUCCUCCACUCUGGGGUGCCCCUCCUGCCCUCUAACUUCUAAGCCACACUGGAAACCAACCCCCCAACCUUCAGAAGUGUGGGCAUCUCUGGGCCUCUGCUCUGGGCUAAAUGAGGCAUUCUCUCAGCCUAGGAAAUGGGACCCUCCCAGUUCUGAGCCAGAUGCCCAGAAAACAGGACCGCCUCGGAAGACAGGAAUAGUCUGCAGCUGUGUGUCUUUGAGCAAGCCGCCUACCCUCUCUGUGCCUUAUCAGGAGAGGGUGACUCUGCCCACCUUACAAGGCUAUGGGAAGGACACAGUGAACUAAGGUAUGUGGAAUGCUCACCUCGCCUGGGUCCUCAGCACACAAGGCUGAGGCUGUCGGCACCCCUCCCCCACUCCCCGUGCCUACGGCACCCCUGGGUUCCUUCUCAUGGCCGUAUCUAGGAGGGGUAGGCUCUCUUGGGAUGCUUGGUGGGUACCCCAGGGGCAGUCAGAGAAAAAGCGUGAGAACUUUUCCCGGUUUUCCAAAUCGUCCCCAAAAUGCAGGGCCUCCUUCCCCAGAGAGGCCCCAUUUAUGGGGAGGGGACAGGCUGAGGCCCCGUGGGGGACACUGAGUCAGGCACAACUGUCUCCUAAGUGCCUGCUACAUACCCAGUGCUGGGGACACAGCAGUGACCAAGGUGAACAAAAUCCUGGAUGGAGGGGUGCUGGAGUGUGAAUGUCUAUGUCCCCCCAAAAUCUGUAUGUUGAGACCUAAUCAUCAUGGGACAGUGUCAGAGCACGGGGCCUCUGGGAGGUGACGAGCUGUCACGAGUGGCAUUGGUGCCCCCGGAAAGCCACCGUGCCCUCUGCCUGGGAGAAGCCACCACCUAUGAACCAGGGAACGGGCCCUCCUCCCAUGUGACACCAAAUCCGCCAGCCUCUGGGUCUCGGGCGUCCAGCCUCCAAAACUGUGAGCAGUAAAGUUCUCUUGCUUGUGA